This 433-nucleotide ribosomal RNA is filed under the name uncultured bacterium. Its description in RNAcentral is "partial 16S ribosomal RNA". It matches the Rfam family "Bacterial small subunit ribosomal RNA", at positions 29 to 507 of the family's 1533-position model. The record is from RNAcentral.
AACGAACGCUGGCGGCAUGCCUAACACAUGCAAGUCGAACGAGACCUUCGGGUCUAGUGGCGCACGGGUGCGUAACGCGUGGGAACCUGCCCUUAAGUUCGGAAUAACUCCCCGAAAGGGGUGCUAAUACCGGCUCAUGUCCUCGGUCCAAAGAUUUAUCGCCUUUGGAUGGGCCCGCGUUGGAUUAGCUAGUUGGUAGGGUAAAAGCCUACCAAGGCGACGAUCCAUAGCUGGUCUGAGAGGAUGAUCAGCCACACUGGGACUGAGACACGGCCCAGACUCCUACGGGAGGCAGCAGUGGGGAAUAUUGGACAAUGGGCGAAAGCCUGAUCCAGCAAUGCCGCGUGAGUGAUGAAGGCCUUAGGGUUGUAAAGCUCUUUUACCCGGGAUGAUAAUGACAGUACCGGGAGAAUAAGCACCGGCUAACUCCGUG